AUUGAACGCUGGCGGCAUGCCUUACACAUGCAAGUCGAACGGCAGCACGGGUGCUUGCACCUGGUGGCGAGUGGCGAACGGGUGAGUAAUACAUCGGAACGUACCUUAUCGUGGGGGAUAACGCAGCGAAAGUUGCGCUAAUACCGCAUACGCCCUGAGGGGGAAAGCGGGGGACCGUAAGGCCUCGCGCGAUUAGAGCGGCCGAUGUCUGAUUAGCUUGUUGGUGAGGUAAAAGCUCACCAAGGCGAUGAUCAGUAGCUGGUCUGAGAGGACGAUCAGCCACACUGGGACUGAGACAGGGCCCAGACUCCUACGGGAGGCAGCAGUGGGAAAUUUUGGACAAUGGGGGCAACCCUGAUCCAGAAAUGCCGCGUAAGUGAAGAAGGCCUUCGAGUUGUAAAGCUCUUUUGUCAGGGAGGAAACAGCAGCACUAACACAGUCUGCGAAUGACGGUACCUGAAGAAUAAGCACCGGCUAACUACGUG
RNAcentral lists this ribosomal RNA (485 nucleotides) under uncultured bacterium. Its description in RNAcentral is "partial 16S ribosomal RNA". It matches the Rfam family "Bacterial small subunit ribosomal RNA", at positions 30 to 507 of the family's 1533-position model. The record is from RNAcentral.